CAGUUUAGCCCAUGUCUCCCUCCAGGUGGGCAAUCAGCACCAUCAUGACAACUUGCCCCACCGCCCCAGCACCUCCAGAUGUGACAGCUCAGACAACACAGACUCCAUUGCUACGGAGAAAAAGCCGCCUGCAGUGAAAGGCAGAACCCAGCCGCCACCUGUACCACUGCGCUUCACUGCCUACUGUCCCUCCUUGCGUUAGGAGGGCACAGGCUGUGCCUGCCAGUGUGCCUAUUGCCAAACUGGACCAGGAUGCACUUCAUGUAGCAGGACAGUCACAUGCGCAGGAUCCCAGCUCCUGAUCCCCUUGAAAUGAAGCGCCAAUGGCCAGACCAUCCAGCAAGUUGUGUGCCAGGCAGGAACUGGAAAGCUGGAAAGAAUGAAUAAACUGGUCGUUGUAUUUCUCUGACAUGAAGGAAGCCACUGCAGCAUUCUUUAAGAGCAUCAGGGGGCCCAGACUGGUUACACAAGUGUGUUCAAUCUGUGAACAUUUUUCAAGCUGCAACACACAUUGUACUUCAAUGAAAAAAGCUUUACUUAAAAAAAUCCUACCCAUUCUUCCAGGUUCUUACAAAAUAUUCCCUCAUUAACAUCCACAAAGUCCCUGGGAUAUGUGUAACUGAAGGCAAUCUACCGUCUCUACGACCCCACAGCACUUUGUGGGUCCUCUUAUCACUUAGCCUCACCUGGAAACAUCUGUAUGGAAAGAACGAGAGCUUUGGAGACCUGGGUACCAGAGCCAGCCACUUCUCAGAUGGGUGGCCAUGAGCAAGUCCCCCACAGCUGUAUGGUUCUUAGCGACAAGCAGCAGGAAGUGACUGCUGAUUUAAGCAGAAAAGGGAACCAGGUAGUUGCUGGAAGCUCCAGAAGGCCAGAACCAGGCUCAGAGGUCUGCUGCCAGGUAUGAUGCAGAAAAUCAUACUGAAGAACUGGUUGGGUCCAGACACCAUGGCUGCUUUGUCAGGCAUAGGUCACAUGGCCAACUCCAUAGCCACUGGGUCUGGACUCAAGAAUGACCCCAAAACUACUGUUAGAACCCCUGAUGUCACUGCCUCUGGAAAUGGAGGAUGCCAACACACCUGCCACCAGAGCAGAUUCUGUACAGUUCCCAUCCCACGAUGUCAUCAGCUUCUGGAUUCAAAGUCCGUGGCAGGAGUAUCUGAUUGGCAGAGCCCACGUCAGGCACCCUCACCCUAGCUGCAAGAGACUCUGGGAACAUGAGUGUCUGGCCUUUCUUGCUUUUAUAGCAGGAGAUAGUUCUGUCUCUUCAAGUAGAGGACUCAAACAGGAGAAUGGUCACCAAAAGAAUGACAAAUGUCCAUGGUGUCACCUAAGGACAAGUUAUCUCCCUGCACCUGUUUCCUCAUCCAAAAAAUAGGAAUAAUGAUGGCUCCCAUGCAUGGGAGUUGUAAUGGUUAAAGGAGCUGGGGGGAUAAAGGGCCCAUCAGAUGCCCAGCACACAGUAGGAGCUUAGUUAAG
Molecule: long non-coding RNA, 1479 nt
Organism: Equus asinus (donkey)
Lineage: Eukaryota; Metazoa; Chordata; Mammalia; Perissodactyla; Equidae
Source: Ensembl